AGUGAACGCUGGCGGUAGGCCUAACACAUGCAAGUCGAACGGCAGCACAGUAAGAGCUUGCUCUUACGGGUGGCGGGUGGCGGACGGGCGAGGAAUACAUCGGAAUCUACUUUUUCGUGGGGGAUAACGUAGGGAAACUUACGCUAAUACCGCAUACGACCUACGGGUGAAAGCAGGGGGUCUUCGGACCUUGCGCGAUUGAAUGAGCCGAUGUCGGAUUAGCUAGUUGGCGGGGUAAAGGCCCACCAAGGCGACGAUCCGUAGCUGGUCUGAGAGGAUGAUCAGCCACACUGGAACUGAGACACGGUCCAGACUCCUACGGGAGGCAGCAGUGGGGAAUAUUGGACAAUGGGCGCAAGCCUGAUCCAGCCAUACCGCGUGGGUGAAGAAGGCCUUCGGGUUGUAAAGCCCUUUUGUUGGGAAAGAAAAGCAGCAGGUUAAUACCCCGCUGUUCUGACGGUACCCAAAGAAUAAGCACCGGCUAACUUCGUG
Molecule: ribosomal RNA, 492 nt
Filed under: uncultured bacterium
Lineage: Bacteria
Description: partial 16S ribosomal RNA
Rfam family: Bacterial small subunit ribosomal RNA
Source: RNAcentral